GGCUACACACGUGCUACAAUGGUGGUGACAGUGGGCAGCGAGACCGCGAGGUCGAGCUAAUCUCCAAAAACCAUCUCAGUUCGGAUUGCACUCUGCAACUCGGGUGCAUGAAGUUGGAAUCGCUAGUAAUCGCAGAUCAGCAUGCUGCGGUGAAUACGUUCCCGGGCCUUGUACACACCGCCCGUCACACCAUGGGAGUUGGUUCUACCCGAAGGCGCUGCGCUAACCGCAAGGAGGCAGGCGACCACGGUAGGGUCAGCGACUGGGGUGAAGUCGUAACAAGGUAGCCGUAGGGGAACCUGCGGCUGGAUCACCUCCUUUCUAAG
Molecule: ribosomal RNA, 326 nt
Filed under: Salmonella enterica subsp. enterica serovar Enteritidis
Lineage: Bacteria; Pseudomonadati; Pseudomonadota; Gammaproteobacteria; Enterobacterales; Enterobacteriaceae
Description: bacterial SSU rRNA
Rfam family: Bacterial small subunit ribosomal RNA
Source: RNAcentral